UGCCGGGAUGCUCCAGUUGAUCGCAUGGUCUUCUGGGAAAGCUUUCGCGGUAUGGGAUGGGGUCGCGUCCUAUCAGCUUGACGGCGGGGUAACGGCCCACCGUGGCUUCGACGGGUAGCCGGCCUGAGAGGGCGACCGGCCACAUUGGGACUGAGAUACGGCCCAGACUCCUACGGGAGGCAGCAGUGGGGAAUAUUGCACAAUGGGCGCAAGCCUGAUGCAGCGACGCCGCGUGAGGGAUGGAGGCCUUCGGGUUGUAAACCUCUUUUAUCGGGGAGCAAGCGAGAGUGAGUUUACCCGUUGAAUAAGCACCGGCUAACUACGUGCCAGCAGCCGCGGUAAUACGUAGGGUGCAAGCGUUAUCCGGAAUUAUUGGGCGUAAAGGGCUCGUAGGCGGUUCGUCGCGUCCGGUGUGAAAGUCCAUCGCUUAACGGUGGAUCCGCGCCGGGUACGGNCGGGCUUGAGUGCGGNAGGGGAGACUGGAAUUCCCGG
RNAcentral lists this ribosomal RNA (492 nucleotides) under uncultured Bifidobacterium sp. RNAcentral's name for it is "bacterial SSU rRNA". It matches the Rfam family "Bacterial small subunit ribosomal RNA", at positions 166 to 673 of the family's 1533-position model. Lineage: Bacteria; Bacillati; Actinomycetota; Actinomycetes; Bifidobacteriales; Bifidobacteriaceae. The record is from RNAcentral.